UUCGCGCUGUUCCUGCCGGCUCUGCUGUGGUCUCCGCCACGCCCUGCGGCGGAGUCUCUUCGUUGUAGCGUGUUGCCUCAGCAACGGCAGGCUGCGUCAGCAGUGGGCGUGUAUCUCAGGGCGGGUUGCCUCGGCAACGGCUGGCUGCGUCAGCAGUGGGCGUGUAUCUCAGUUGGGGCAGGUUGCCUCCGUAGUGGUGGACGCCCCUCCCCCACAGAGCGUCUCGGACCGUCUGCCCGGGAUAGUUUGAAAUCGUGGUUUUGUUCGUCCCACUGGGUAUCCCAAGCGAUUUGUCCCUGCAAUCCCCUGGGCUGGGCUACUGUGCAAGUCUCGUUCAGUCUCAAGUCCAGCCCUCUCAAGUCUCAGGUUGCCGGUUCAACAAGGCACCCGGACAAGCGCGCCCUGUGGGGAUUGCUGGGUAGGGCCGGCCGCCGCCGCCCCGGCUGCCGGCUUCGCCAGGCAGACCUACUGCCUGGCGUCCCGUGUCUUUUUAUACUUGGGAGUUUCCCCGUUCUGUGGGCAACAAAGAUCAGUCUGGAAAUGCAGCACUGACUCACCGUUUGCGAAUUCAACGCGGGCUCCAAUCCUGGGUUGUUCUCACAGCGCCAUCUUGAGUCCCCUCCAUGAUUUUCAAUUUCACUUUUGUGAUAAUGUCCUUUGAAGCACAAAAGUCAUUUAUUUUGAUUAACCUAUUUAAAAUGUAUUUAAUUUUGAUUUAGCUAUUUUUAUUGUUAUCACUUGUACAUUUACUGUCACAUCUAAGAAACUGUUGCCUAAUCUAAGGUCAUAGAACUUUACCUCUGUUUCUUUCUAACAGUGUUUUAGUUUCAGCUCCUACAUUUAGGCUAUAAAGCAUGUUGGGUUAAUUUUUGCAUGUGGUGUGAGGUAGGGGAGUUUAACUUUAUUUUUUUGCUGUGGAUAUCCAGUUGUAUAAACAUUUGUCGAAAAGACUACCUUUCCCCCAUGAAUUGUCUUGACUCGCUGGCUGAAAAUUAUUGGACCAUAAACAUAAGAAUUUAUGUGUGAGCUUUUAAUUCUAUUCAAUUUAUCUAUAUGCUUUUCCCUUUGCCAAUACCACACUGUCUUAGUUACUAUAGUUUUGUGGUAGGUUUUGAAAUUAAAAAGUGAGUCCUCCAACUUCAUGCUUCUUUUUCAAGAUUGUUUUUCCUAUUGGAGGUCCUUGCAUUUCCAUGUGAAUUUGAGAAUCAGCAUGUUAAUUUCUGUGGGGAAGAGGCAUCUGAGAUUUUCAUAGGAAUUAUGUUGAAUUUGUAGUUUAUUUUGGGAAGUAUUUCUGUUUUAACAAUAUUAAGUUUUACAAUACAUGACCAUGGGAUGUCUUUUCACUUAUUUAGGUCUUCAUGUCUUCUUUAAUUUAUUUCAACUGUGUUUUCUGGAUCUCAGUAUACAAGUCCUCCAGUUCUUUUGUUAAGUUUAUUCCAUAGUGAGAGGUUUUAAUACAUUUUCUCAGUACCUGAUGGAACAGA
RNAcentral lists this long non-coding RNA (1484 nucleotides) under Callithrix jacchus (white-tufted-ear marmoset). RNAcentral describes it as "lncRNA (ENSCJAG00000074558.1)". Lineage: Eukaryota; Metazoa; Chordata; Mammalia; Primates; Cebidae. The record is from RNAcentral.